Non-coding RNA from Staphylococcus cohnii subsp. cohnii, 294 nucleotides. The record is from Rfam. NCBI's taxonomy places the organism in Bacteria, Bacillati, Bacillota, Bacilli, Caryophanales, Staphylococcaceae.
AACGAGUGAUUGUUCUGGGUUAAUGAAGUGAACGUGUGUAUCAAGGGCACCCGCAGUUAUGAUUUUACCUUCUGCAGCAAUAACAUCAGUUGUUGCUCCAAUAACAAUAUCAACAUUAUCCAUAAUAUCCGGAUUGCCUGCUUUACCAAUUUUCAUAAUAUAACCAUUUUUCACACCGAUAUCUGCUUUGAUUACUUUGUCAUAAUCUAAGAUUAACGCAUUAGUAAUCACUAAAUCUGCAACUUUUUUAUCGUCUCUUGUUACGUUAGGGUUUUGAGCCAUACCGUCUCGGAU